UACGUAGGGUGCAAGCGUUUGUCCGGAAUUAUUGGGCGUAAAGAGCUCGUAGGCGGUCUGUCGCGUCGAUCGUGAAAACUUGGGGCUUAACCCUGAGCUUGCGGUCGAUACGGGCAUGACUGGAGUUCGGCAGGGGAGACUGGAAUUCCUGGUGUAGCGGUGAAAUGCGCAGAUAUCAGGAGGAACGCCGGUGGCGAAGGCGGGUCUCUGGGCCGAUACUGACGCUGAGGAGCGAAAGCGUGGGGAGCGAACAGG
RNAcentral lists this ribosomal RNA (255 nucleotides) under uncultured bacterium. RNAcentral's name for it is "partial 16S ribosomal RNA". It matches the Rfam family "Bacterial small subunit ribosomal RNA", at positions 524 to 776 of the family's 1533-position model. The record is from RNAcentral.